GUGACCCAGGCCUCUCUCCGGUCUCACAUUGGAGUUGUGCCCCAAGACACUGUCCUCUUUAAUGACACCAUCGCUGACAAUAUCCGUUACGGCCGUGUUACAGCUGGGAAUGAUGAGGUGGAGGCUGCUGCUCAGGCUGCAGGCAUCCAUGAUGCCAUUAUGGGUUUCCCUGAAGGGUACAGGACACAGGUGGGCGAGCGGGGACUGAAGCUGAGCGGUGGGGAGAAGCAGCGCGUCGCCAUUGCCCGCACCAUCCUCAAGGCUCCGGACAUCAUUCUGCUGGAUGAGGUGCGCCCUGGGUCUCCUCCCCUCCUUCCUCCCUUGUGUAUGCUCAAGCCAUUCCUGCUGGGCACUGUCCCCACCUAGAACAGAUACCAUGAAUCCACAUCUCACAAAACACACUUUACAGUUCUCAAGCCCAAACAAGGCUCUUGUGUAUUCUUGAGGCCUCAGCCAGCAGCCUGCCUCCUUCCAUUGAGGGUUUUGAGUGGCAGGAACAGUUUUACCUGGACCCUCUCUAUAGGCAACGUCAGCACUGGAUACAUCUAAUGAGAGGGCCAUCCAGGCUUCUCUGGCCAAAGUCUGUGCCAACCGCACCACCAUCGUAGUGGCACACAGGCUCUCAACUGUGGUCAAUGCUGACCAGAUCCUCGUCAUCAAGGAUGGCUGCAUCGUGGAGAGGGGACGGCAUGAGGCUCUGUUGUCCCGAGGUGGGGUGUAUGCUGACAUGUGGCAGCUGCAGCAACAGGGACAGGAAGAAACCUCUGAAGACACUGAGCCUCAGACCAUGGAACGGUGACAAAAGUUUGGCCACUUCCCUCUCAAAGACUAACCCAGAAGGGAAUAAGAUGUAUCUCCUUUCCCUGGCUUAUUUCAUCCUGGUCUUGGGGUGUGGUGCUAGCUAUAGUAAAGGAAAGGGACCUUUCAGAAAAGCACUUUUUGGGGAAAUAAAAAUGUGGACUGUG
This 965-nucleotide small RNA is filed under the name Pongo abelii (Sumatran orangutan). Its description in RNAcentral is "retained intron". The record is from RNAcentral. Lineage: Eukaryota; Metazoa; Chordata; Mammalia; Primates; Hominidae.